Pongo abelii (Sumatran orangutan) is the source of this 88-nucleotide microRNA precursor. The record is from Ensembl. NCBI's taxonomy places the organism in Eukaryota, Metazoa, Chordata, Mammalia, Primates, Hominidae.
CGAGGAUGGGAGCUGAGGGCUGGGUCUUUGCGGGCGAGAUGAAGGUGUCGGAUCAACUGGCCUACAAAGUCCCAGUCCUCGGCCCCCG